Molecule: ribosomal RNA, 461 nt
Filed under: uncultured bacterium
Lineage: Bacteria
Description: partial 16S ribosomal RNA
Rfam family: Bacterial small subunit ribosomal RNA
Source: RNAcentral
CUACGGGUGGCAGCAGUCGAGAAUCUUCCGCUAUGGACGAAAGUCUGACGGAGCGACGCCGCGUGCGGGAUGAAGGCCUUCGGGUUGUAAACCGCUGUCAGUGGGGAGGAAAUGCAUCAGGGUUCUCCCUGGUGUUUGACCGAUCCGCAGAGGAAGCGCAGGCUAAGUUCGUGCCAGCAGCCGCGGUAACACGAACUGCGCAAACGUUAUUCGGAAUCACUGGGCUUAAAGAGUUCGUAGGCGGCCUUUCAAGUCGGGUGUGAAAUCCCUCGGCUCAACCGAGGAAUUGCGCCUGAUACUGUUGGGCUUGAGGGGGAUAGGGGUGAGCGGAACUGAUGGUGGAGCGGUGAAAUGCGUUGAUAUCAUCAGGAACACCGGUGGCGAAGGCGGCUCACUGGAUCUCUUCUGACGCUGAGGAACGAAAGCUAGGGGAGCGAACGGGAUUAGAUACCCCUGUAGUC